RNAcentral lists this long non-coding RNA (225 nucleotides) under Elaeis guineensis (African oil palm). Its description in RNAcentral is "long non-coding RNA (EGUI_LNC035162)". The record is from RNAcentral. Lineage: Eukaryota; Viridiplantae; Streptophyta; Magnoliopsida; Arecales; Arecaceae.
AGGGCAUUUAGUUUGGAUCUUCCAAGUAUGGCAUUGUAGGUCGAAGGUACUCGGAUGAUCAUGAAGAUCAUGCAGACGGUGCUUUGUCAUGGUUCGACCCCAGCUAUCAUGGGAAGAGCAAUUUCUCCUUCCACUGCGACGGCCUCCCAGGCAAAACCCACUAGGGGCAUAGAGACUCUCCUGAGUCGGUCGGUCGACAGUCGCAUUCGGAAGAAGGUCGAGUAA